RNA transcript from Xenia sp. Carnegie-2017, 2441 nucleotides. RefSeq lists it as uncharacterized. The record is from RefSeq and is a predicted model, not a curated record. NCBI's taxonomy places the organism in Eukaryota, Metazoa, Cnidaria, Anthozoa, Malacalcyonacea, Xeniidae. The transcript has 14 exons.
CAUUCAGCGAUUCUGCUUUCGUUGUCGUUACGGACAUGGUCCGAUGUGUCCAAGCAUAGCCACUGCGAAAAACAGCUUGAGCAACCUUUACUCUUAAUUAAUUUCGAGCUAAAAAUGGCUGAUAAGAGUCAUAAGGUAAAAAUUGCUGAUUAUGGAGCGUGGUCCAGUCCAAUAACUGCUGAAGUGGUCAUAGCUGAAGGAGGACUUUCGAAAUCUCGCUUUUCCUUUCUCCAAACGUGUUUGAACGAUAAUAAUGAGGAGGUAGUGUUCUGGACAGAGCUACGUCCAAAUGAGAAAGGCCGUAUUGUUGUCUGUUCUUGGAGUGAAAAGCAUAAAGAAAUUGUUUCAUGGACUCCAGAAGGUUUCAAUGCACGGACAACUGUACAUGAAUAUGGAGGUGGUUCUUGUUUUGUUUCCAAGGGAAAUGUAUACUUUUCAAACUUCAGUGAUCAGAAGAUGUACAUGCAACAGUCUUCAUCAUCACCUCCACUACAAGUCUCAAGUGGUGGUAAAGGAUUAAGAUAUGCAGACGGUGAGAUGUGUCCAUUCUCUAACACAAUAAUCUGUGUGCGUGAAGAUCAUGGAAUUAUUGAGGACCAAGGGGCAAAAGAAGCAUGCAACACAAUUGUCUCCAUUGAUCCGGAAGCUAAAGAAGAAUUUGUUUUAGUGAAAGGUGAGGACUUCUAUUCUUCUCCUCGUACUUCAUCUACUGGAAUGUUGGCAUGGGUCCAGUGGAGUCAUCCAAAUAUGCCAUGGGAUACAACAGGACUCUAUAUUGCACAGUUAAGCACUAAUGGGAAGAGUAUAGAGGGACCAUCUCAACAGAUAUCAUACAACGAAAGUGUCAGCAUAAUGUAUCCAAGAUGGAGUGCAGAUGAUUCACUUUAUUUCAUUUCAGACAGAUCAGACUGGUGGAAUGUGUACGAGUAUAUUUUUAGCACAAAUGAUGAGCGUAACAUAUUUCCUGUUGAUAAAGAAAUUGGAUUGCCACAGUGGAGAUUUGGUUUAUGCAGUUAUGUACCACAUCCAAAGAAUCCUAAAUUAUUUGCAGUAGUCUGUGGUGGAGAACUGGGCAUUGUAAAUGCUGAAGUGGAAAAGAUGGAAGUUGUCAACACAGGCUUCGUAUCUCAUAUUUACCCUUAUUUCUCAGCAAAUGGCCAAAAGCUUUAUUGUGUAGCUGGCAGCACAAUAAAAUCAUAUGUCAUCCUUGAGGUAGACAUGGAUACAAAGAAAGUUGUCAUAAUUAAGGAUGUUACAAAGAGUUUUCAAUUGGAUGAAGGGUACAUUAGCAUACCUAAAGCAAUAACUUUUCCAACGGAGGAUAACAAAGUCUCUCAUGGUUACUUGUAUUUACCUAAAAACAAAGAUUAUGCAGCACCUACAGGAUCUCUGCCACCACUUUUAGUCAAAGUUCAUGGAGGACCCACAUCUUCUACAUCACCAGUCUUUGAUUUAAAUAAGCAGUUCUUCACAAGUCGUGGUAUUGCUGUAUUGGACAUGAACUAUAGAGGAAGCACUGGAUAUGGCAUGCAUUACAGAAAGGAACUUUAUGGCAAUUGGGGCAAAGUUGAUGUUGAAGACUGUUGCAAUGGUGCAUUGUAUGUUGCUGAGACAAUGAAAGUUGCAGACCGUAACAAACUCUGUAUUGAUGGGGGAUCAGCUGGUGGUUACACAUCAUUAGCAUGUCUUACAUUACGGCCUGAGGUAUUUCAAGCUGGUGCCAGCAUGUAUGGUGUGUCUGAUGUUGAGGCUCUUGUAAAGGAUACACACAAAUUUGAAAGUCGAUACAUGGAUACUAUUGUUGGUCCAUAUCCAGAGAGUAUUGAAUUGUACAAAGAAAGAUCACCAAUCAGUCAUGUCAACAGGCUUAAAUGUCCAAUGAUCUUUUUCCAAGGGGAUGAAGACAAGAUUGUGCUACCUAACCAAGCAGAAAUGAUGUUUAAUGCAAUUAAAGAAAAGGGAAUUGCUUGUUGCUAUGUUCUUUACAAAGGUGAACAGCAUGGUUUUAGAAAAAGUGAAAACAUUAUAGCAACCUUGGAGGGAGAAUUCUGUUUUUUUGCCAAAGUAUUUGGAUAUGAGCCAGCAGAUUUUGAAUGCAAACUUGACAUUAAAAACAUGGAUUCAUUUCAAAGGUGAAAGCAUAGUUGACGUUCCUGUUUGAAAAUUUGUCAAAUGUGCCAGACUUAAAAAGGGCACCAUGCCACGCUGGUGACUUCAUUUGUGUGACCCAAUAAGUGGAAUGGUGCAGCUUGAGGAUCAUCAAUCUUCCAUAUAUAUCCAUCAUAAUCACCUGAGCCACUUAAAAGAUAUUGAUCAUCUGGACUCACUGAAGACUUGACAUAAAAUGUCACAUUACUGUGGCCUCUGAAUUUUGCUAAGGGCUCUUUUUGAAAUGUAACAGUCAUACAUGUAGAUUACAUCAUUGGUGCAGUUAGCAAAAA